This 146-nucleotide microRNA precursor is filed under the name Myotis lucifugus (little brown bat). RNAcentral's name for it is "miRNA (ENSMLUG00000020535.1)". Lineage: Eukaryota; Metazoa; Chordata; Mammalia; Chiroptera; Vespertilionidae. The record is from RNAcentral.
AAUACAAGAUGCCCAGUUCAAUUCGAACUUCACAACAAAUAAUGGCUUAGUAUAAGUAUGUUCCAUGCAAUAUUUGGGACAUACUUAUGCGAAUUUAUUUUAAUUGUUUAUGUGAAAUUCAAAUUUAAGUAGGCAUUCUCUAUUUU